AGAGUUUGAUCAUGGCUCAGGAUGAACGCUAGCUACAGGCUUAACACAUGCAAGUCGAGGGGAAACGACAUCGAAAGCUUGCUUUUGAUGGGCGUCGACCGGGCGCACGGGUGAGUAACGCGUAUCCAACCUGCCCACCACUUGGGGAUAACCUUGCGAAAGUAAGACUAAUACCCAAUGACGUCUCUAGAAGACAUCUGAAAGAGAUUAAAGAUUUAUCGGUGAUGGAUGGGGAUGCGUCUGAUUAGCUUGUUGGCGGGGUAACGGCCACCAAGGCGACGAUCAGUAGGGGUUCUGGAGAGGAAGGUCCCCCACGAUUGGAACUUGGAGACCACGGUCCAAACGUCCUACGGGAGGCA
RNAcentral lists this ribosomal RNA (359 nucleotides) under uncultured bacterium. RNAcentral's name for it is "bacterial SSU rRNA". It matches the Rfam family "Bacterial small subunit ribosomal RNA", at positions 8 to 350 of the family's 1533-position model. The record is from RNAcentral.